Molecule: non-coding RNA, 367 nt
Organism: Canis lupus familiaris (dog)
Lineage: Eukaryota; Metazoa; Chordata; Mammalia; Carnivora; Canidae
Source: Rfam
UGGGUGGUCAACAAGCGCGGGUCUGGCGGAGCGCGGUGGCGCGCGGAGACCGCGAGGCGACCGGGAGCGGCUGGGUCCCCGGCGGCGCGCCCCUCGGCCGGGCCGGGAGCCGCGCCAGUCGGUGCUCCCGGCCGAGCGCGGUCCGCCUCCCUCUCAGCGAUCGUCCGCCCGGGGUGCGGCCCGCGGGCAUGCCGGAUCCACCAGGGGCGCCGCCGCCGGCGCUCGCAGGUCGCGGGUGAAGAAAGUGCGGCCUCGCUCGGCCCGGAGCGAAGACGUGGCCCGGAGCCAAGAGGUGACCCGAAGUGAAGAAGUGGCCCAAAGUGAAGAGGUGACCGAGGGCCAGGAGGUGGCCCCGAGCGAGGAAAUG